UAAAUGAGGUCAGGAGGGUGAGGCUUUUGCGAGGGGAUUAGCGUCCUCAUAAGGAGAAACACCUGAGAACCUGCUGUUCUCCCUCCACGGGGUAGUGGGGCAGAGGCAGGAAAGAGAGAGCUCUCCUCUCCAGAGCCUGACCAGGCCGGUGCUGUCCAUCCUCUAGGACCUGCAGCCAGACCUCCAGAACUGUCUCAUGGGAGUACUUGCCAUUGGUAGAUUCUAACCUGGAACCUGGUGGUAAGAAAUCUCAGGAAAUGAGGUUCCCAGUCUUCUAGCCCCUGCAACACAGACUGGAGUAGGAAUGGAACCAGUGGACAGUCCAGCACAGGGGUGACUGGAAUGUAGGAAGGCUCAAAGAUAACUCUGGUGUAAAGGAGGAAGAGAGAGAGAGAGAAAAAAAGCACAAAGACACAAUGAAAUGAACCUCAGAAAUAGGCACUGGAGCAGUUAUUCACAUCCAGCUCCACAGGGUGCUCCCGUGGCCCUGCCAGGCCCACCCCGGGCUUUGUCCCACGUGUCCCUGGCCGAGGUCUCUCCUAAGUCGAGCCAGUCCAUUGGGAUCCACUAUCCGGAAUAUUUUGGAUUCUUUGUCCUCCCAUCGGAUGAAGUUUUCGUACCGGCUGUCAGAAAGCAACUGAUAGACGUAAUCCCAAAGCAGUCUACAGUCUACAGAGGAAAAGGGCAAGAAAACACCGUUGACAAGGCUGCUUGUAAGUAUGAAGAGCAAGAAUCAAGAAAAUAAUCGAGGAACCGCUUUUGCCUUCUUCGGAUUGAGUCCAAGCUCCUUGUUUUGGGAAUUCCUUGGCAGUCCAGUGGUUAGGACCCUGCGCUUUCCUUGAGGAGAGCCAGGGUUCAAUCCCGCAAGCCAAAACAAAAACAACAAAACUUUUACAGUGAGGAGACCAAGGCACAGAGAGACCUGGGAGAUGGUGACCUUUGACCUGGGCCUUCGAGACCAUCCUGGCCCAGACCCUCCCUCCCCGCAACCUCAGAUGAGGACGCAGCAACCCGGAAAGAGGAAAGGACUGGUCUAUGGUCAUGACCCAUGAUUUGAACUGGAGUAGAGCCCACAGGAGGGAAAGAACAAGCUCUAACAGGAAAUGAAUCGGUUUUGAAAAGGGGCUGAAGACAGGCUGGCAGGACCCGUGGUGUCCUUCUUAGAGAAUUUCUGGCGUUUGAACCCUACGCUUAUGAAAGCUGGCCAGCGAUCUGUUACCAACCCUGCCCGACGCUGUGCUCGUGGUUGCCAGAGGGGGAGCAGAGAGACAGCAAGGGGACCAGUCCCAGUAAGAGGAAGUACCUUGGGAGAUGGGCCAUUACCUAGAAGCAGAAAGCUGAUAAAUCCAGUGCAGCCAACCCUGUGCUGAUACGCAGAGGUGUGUUUACAGCAGGCAACUGCUUGUGCUCUGCUGUGGCGUAGGGAAACAGAAGCUGUAUGUGCACAGCAGCCAGCCGGGAGGGGGAGAAACCGAGGCAGAGAACACAAAUCUGUGCUUCCUGGCUUCACCGAAGCAGAGGGACCGCAGCUGCAAACGCCGCUAAACCUUCUCACCGUUGGUGGCAGGUGUGGAGCAACGCUGGGAAAGGCAGGAAUCUGCAAUCAUGCCUUAUAGCUGAGAUCAAGCCCCCGGACAGAUCCCACAUUCAUCUAAGCCCAGCCAAAAGCCAGCUCCC
Bubalus bubalis (water buffalo) is the source of this 1677-nucleotide long non-coding RNA. RefSeq lists it as uncharacterized. The record is from RefSeq and is a predicted model, not a curated record. The transcript is spliced from 7 exons. Lineage: Eukaryota; Metazoa; Chordata; Mammalia; Artiodactyla; Bovidae.